Long non-coding RNA from Mya arenaria, 1057 nucleotides. RefSeq lists it as uncharacterized. NCBI's taxonomy places the organism in Eukaryota, Metazoa, Mollusca, Bivalvia, Myida, Myidae. The record is from RefSeq and is a predicted model, not a curated record. The transcript has 4 exons.
CAGGAAUAUUCUUGACUGCUAGAUGAUAACGCGAUAUGCUAGAUAAACACACACUGUGUACAACAACUAUCAGAAGUAGGUCAUUGUGCGUUGUAUUCGAAGCAGACUAUCAUUGAUUUAUCAAGGUAUUCACCAUGCUGUGUCGAUCUUUUCUCGUUGGCGUAUUCAUUUUCACUGUUAUGCAGUUGGCUCUAGGAUAUAGCGACGACGAUGAUCAAGACCACACAACGAUGAACUGGAAAGAGUAUUCUAGACAAGACUGGCACCCGCCGAUGAUGGCAUCCAAUGCAGCGAGUCAUUCUAGUGACGUGAUGUUUGUCUUCGCGUUGCUGGGUGUGGCUUUCGUGGGCCAAUAUAUCUUGCCAGGUCAGCAUGGUUGCUAAAACGAUCGCAGCUUCUCGCCCGUUUCCGUAUAUAAAUAUGCCAAACGUGUUUUAAUUGAUAUUCAUAGUGCAUAUGACCUAGUAUCUAAACAAUUGCACAAGGCGUUACAGGCGAUGUACUUUAAAAUAAUCGAAACUUAUUAGGACAAACACCAUUGCAUAUAUAGCUACACGGAUCGAAACAUCAAAUUAUGUGAUUCAGUUCGUUCCAAUCAUAUCAAGGUUGAGCCAAUUCAGGGAAAUGAAAGCUAGGCCAAUGACCGAACAUAUGGACCAGAUGGAAAAAUGGAAUAGUGCUUACAGAAGGAACGUAACAGGUGGAACACGUCGCUCAGGAAAACAUCUGAAUGGAUUGAUGUCUAUAUUGUUAAUAUCAUUCAAUUAUACAACGAAAACUACAUGGACAAGCCGAAGUUAAUUCAUCUUUAGCAUGAUUUGGAAGAUUACGUGUGUCUUGAAGUAAACGCACUUUACUGUCUCACUCGGAAAGUGGUUGAUGCUUUUAACAUUAUCAUUUUGUAAACAGCUAUUUUGUCGUUCGAUAAUCGACAUAAUUGAAAUUAACUUGUUUGAAUUUUAUCAAGUGUACUCACUUGUUUAACAAAGAGCGAUUGCAUCGAUUUUAAAUGUCUGCAGAGGAAAUAGUUAUAAUAACAAUAAAGCUGUUCACUGUA